Anguilla anguilla (European eel) is the source of this 1303-nucleotide long non-coding RNA. RefSeq lists it as uncharacterized. The transcript has 3 exons. The record is from RefSeq and is a predicted model, not a curated record. Lineage: Eukaryota; Metazoa; Chordata; Actinopteri; Anguilliformes; Anguillidae.
CCGUGUGUAGAGCAUCAGGAGUUCUCGUUUUUUGGAAACAAUCUUGUUGCAGAAAGUGUACGUCUGCGACACCUGCUGGCUGUUUGAGGAGCCAGCGUAAUAGCGGGGGCCAUUUUUGAAGAGGAGGAACAUCUCACAAUGGCAGGCAGACAACAAAACGAUGGCCAGCAUCAGGAACAGUGAACUCAUCUGCAUGGUGCCAACCCUGAUACCACCAAGAUGGCUGGAUAUUGGCCCACAGCUAGGUGCUAAAAGAGCCUGUGCAAUCCCCACAAUCCUUUUAAUCUUUCAUCAAUCAUGUCGGCAUACCACAAGGCCCCUGAUCCUAUUACCAUAAGGGGGAAAUUGCUAUUCCCACAAAUAGACAAGUUGGCAAUCUGUAGUGAAAGCUUGCUGAAAAGAGGUGGCAGUAAAUGACAGGUUUGAUUGGGCAAUGGAGGAAUCCAAUCAUCCAUAGCCUGAAAAUAGAAUUUGAUAAAAUACAAGUAAACAACUGAAAUGUGUGCUCCUCUUAAAAAGUGCACAGAGAAACAGGACUGGCUGUUCGGUUUUCUUUUUGAAAAUGCAAGUGGUUAUCUUAAGGGAUCUCGGAAAAGGGAACGGUCAGCCUAAUUUUGAAACAUAUUUUUAAACGGCUUCUCGGCUGAAUGUUCACCCGUCCCCGUGGCAAAAUUCAUAGCGGCCGUAAAGACCUCCCCAAAGCUUUAGGCGCCAUUUAAAACAGGCCGGCCUCUUCCUCACCGGCCAUGUCGUGAAAAAGGAAAUGGCUCCAAUAAAACUUUGUGUUUUGUUGCAGUACAUGACCUGCUUUUAAGCUUUCUUCACAACUACUAGCGAGAAAAACAUUUUUUUUCUAACCGUUUUUUUCACCACCAUCUACAAGCCGCUUGGAGGGGCUUAUUGAGUAAAUACAUUCAUAAGUACAUUUACAGAUACUAUGCUCUGUUUCUAAGUGACAAGGUAACCUUCCAAAAUAAUCAGGCUGUUAAUACAUGCUACUGUGUUAUCAUAAUUGCUGGACAAACUGAUCAGUAUACAUCUGGAGUACAUUAAUAAAAUGAUUUCUGCUCUCACCCUGAUAAUAACAUACUGCUUUUUAUAUUCCACCCCAGCCAAAUCCGUUAGAUCGGUGUUUAUAGACUGGAAUAUCUGUUUCUAAAUUACUCCAAGGAGGAGCAUCAUCUAAGAGUGAUUAAUCACGAUUAAUUAAUCAGCCUCCCCACAGUUUCUGUGCUGUCAUAACAAAAUGCCAUGGCUCGAGGUUAGCUUUGAAGAACCACAAAGUGGGUAAUGAUGAAUUUAU